CCGGAAGUACCGCGUACUGGCUGGGAGCUCCAGUAAGGAGCGGGUGUUCUGCGUUGCAGACCUACCUAUAUUUCCAAGACUUCCCAAACCUUAUAAUAAAGAGGAGCACUGGCCAGUUCCUCAAAGGUGAAGAACACUUGAUAGCAACAGCAUGAACUUCUCCCAGUCACAGAAUGGCCUUGUGUGACACUUAUAUUCUGUGCAACUCUCUGUGUUCAUCAAGAAAGCACCAAGCAAAGUAGCAGGAUACAAAAUUAAUGCACAGAAAUCUCUUGCAUUCCUAUACACCAAUGAUGAAAAAUCUGAAAGAGAAAUUAAGGAAACACUCCCAUUUACCAUUGCAACAAAAAGAAUAAAAUACCUAGGAAUAAACCUACCUAAGGAGACAAAAGACUUCUAUGCAGAAAACGAUAAGACACUGAUGAAAGAAAUUAAAGAUGAUACAAACAGAUGGAGAGAUAUACCAUGUUCUUAGAUUGGAAGAAUCGACAUUGUGAAAAUGACUAUACUAC
Molecule: long non-coding RNA, 512 nt
Organism: Physeter macrocephalus (sperm whale)
Lineage: Eukaryota; Metazoa; Chordata; Mammalia; Artiodactyla; Physeteridae
Exons: 3
Source: RefSeq, a predicted model, not a curated record